UAUUUUCCCUCUCUUCUCUUUUUCAUUUCCCUCUUCGUUUUCCCACUUCUUUUUUCCAUUCUCUUACUUUUUCGUAAGAACCCUAAAACCAGCCCAGAAAUCAAAAACCUGAAAUCAAACAAAAAAUCAAAAUCCUAAGCAUCUCUUCGUACGAUAGUUAAGAGAUGGGGUGAACCAACUGCAAGAUCAUCCAUUCUAUUUGAUCAAAGCUCAUCAGUGACUUCUGGUUUUUCUAAUUCUGAUAUUUCCAGCUUGGACAUCAUUCACUCAUUCAAGCAUAUUCAAGCAUAAGUUGACUUGUACAUUGACCUUUGGUUCUGCUUCUUGAUUCAAAUUUUGAAACCAGAUGACUAACAUAAGUGGAGGCGAGAGAGGAAAGGCAAAUCCAAAAAAAGGAAAAUCUAAGUGCUUAGCACCAGGAAAGCUUAUUGGUCAUCGGAAUAGCAUGUUUCACAAGAAAUCUGCAUUUGUCAGUCAUCACCGACUACUACAGCACUGACUCCAUCAACAGCUCAAACUCCAUCGAUGGCUCCGACUCCCUCGUCCACUCCGUCUCACUCGUCCGCUCCAACUCCAUUGCUAGUGCGGGCUGCACCAGUGCCGCGGACUGUACCAAUUCCACGGGCUGCACCGGUGCCGCGGACUGCAUCAAUUCCACGGGCUGCACCGGUGCCGCAGACUGCACCGAUUCCACAGGCUGCACCGAUUCCACAGGAUGCACCGCUGUCACAGGCUACAUCAUUAUCUGCACCUACUCAUUCCUCCAGCUCUGAGGUAUUUAGGUUUAUGCCUACUCCUGGUUUAAACAUUCAAAAUAUGGAUGGCCCUUCAACUCAUGCCUCGCGCGAGAUUCCGAUGGAGGAAAAUGAAGAGGAAAUUGAGGAGGAGGACGAGGAUGAGGUGGUCAUGGGUGAAAAAAAUGUCCCCCCUCAUUUGAUAAUAAGAGAUGAUAAUGGGAAGGUUAUUAUACAACUUCGUGGUACCGGGCUUGUUCCAGGCAAAGAAGUAGCUAAUGCCAUUACUUAUGCGAUACACAAACAGUUUUAUAAGGGUUUCUAUAAUUGGACUGUAGUUGACGAUGAUGUUAGAGAAAAAUGGUUUGCUCUUUUUGCGGCCCUAGAAUGGUCAAUCUGCUAGUGCUGUCAUUCGACCAUCAAAUCCUCACUAUGAUGAUGAUUUAGAUGACCAAUCAUUAAGUGAACAUUGAUUAUGUCGUCUUAGUAAAAGUAGUCUCGGAUGUAUAUUUUUUUGGACAUGAUCUUCAAUGUAUUCCGAGUUUUUGGGGCUGUUUUUUGUUGUAGCUAUGACUACUUUUUUGUUGUUGUUUCAACCUAUGUAAUAUUUGGAUAAUUGUUACUUCAAAUGUGCUAUGUCAAAGCUUUAUAUCUUUUAGCUUCUGAAUUUUAUGUGUCAUUUGCUUAUUAUCUAUAUUUUGUUGCUACUGAAUAUAGUUGUGAUUGAUCUUAAAUCAAAUAUGGUUCAAAAGCUAAUUUUUAUGUUGCUUCAGGAGCUUGACCAUAGCCUCGACUUAACCCAGGCUAAUUAAUUUUAUUGACUUUAGACUCGGCUAGGCCGAAGCUAACUUUUUUUAUUGACUUUUGGAAAUUGACCUUAGCCUCGACAAAUCCCUAGCUAAUUAAAUUUGGGAAGUCUUAUAAUUUAACUUUAGCCUUGGUUAGUUCGAGGCUAAAUAUUUUGUUGUCCUUCAAAGGUUGCUUUUAGCCUCGGCCUGGCCCAUGCUAUUAAUAGCGUUGGCUUCAGGCAAGCCUCGAUUUAGACUCGGCCUAGCCGAGGCUAUAGUAGACACGGCUGAUUUUGGCCGAAGCUAAAUGCUAGCUUCGACUGUUUUAGACUGUCCCGACACCGAGGCUACGCCGAGGCUAAUUGUCUAGUAGCGUCGGUUUUUUGCCUUAUAGCCACGAGGUAUGGCCGAGGCUAAAACCUGUGUUUCUAGUAGUGAUGUGGUGCUUCUUCCGAAGGUUUCUCCAUACUUUCCGUUGUUCUGUUGAAGACUCGUCCACUUCUAGUGACUCGACUUACAUCAGCAAUGUUGACAACAUAUGGAAAUGGUAUUUCCUUACCAUUUUCAAUGAAUGUAGCGUUGUACUUAUAUGGUAUAGCCUUGCUGGACUCAUACGGUACAGGACCUAGUAAGUAGAUGACUAACGGAGCAAUUAGUGUCUUCCUGCUGUCAUACUUGACUUGCAUUGGUUCAACUUGAUUAAUUUGAGAAGAUAUGGUAAAGACUUCGUCAUCUUCUCUGCUGGCAAGAAUUGUAAUGGUAUUUUCAUCCAUUAGUUUCUGAAUGUCGUUGCGAACGCGCAAACAUCCUCGUGAAUUUCUUCGACAAAUUUUGCAUCUACUGUAAGGAUGGAAAUCCGUUCCAAAGUAGGCAAGUCCAUUUAAAGUCUUAUGGAACCUGACUACCGAUCCUUCGAGAUCUUCAACUCUGUAGAUCUUGUAUUCUCCUGGACAUCCUAGAACCAUGUUGAUGUCGUAUUCAGUUUUGACUCGGAUGUGUUGAAUCCACCCUAAGUCCAUUUGUUCUUUUAAUGCAGCUUGAACUACAGCACAUCCUUGAUUAUUCUUUGGACAAAUUUCUCAUGUGAAGUAGUUGUGAGGUGGCACAUGGUUGUACCCACCUUGUCUAGCGUGCAUUUUGACGAGAUUUUCCCCUAUCUGACGGAUGCCGUAGAUUUGAAUGACAUUGGGGUGCUGAUCUAUCAGAUUUACUGAGGCUUCUUUAUGCUGCGGCAAAGGAUUUUCCUGGACGUCAGGAUUAGUAUCUUCGAAGGAUAGAAUUCUGCUCUUCACUUAUCUUUGAACAUCGACCUUGAAUGGGAAAUAGUUCUCAAUGUUAUGACCUGGUGCCCCCUGAUGAUAGGGACAAGAUUGGUCAGCCUUAAACCAUGGUGAAGAACUUUUUGCAGGAUUUGGAGGGCUCCUUGUCUGAAUGAGUCCUUUUGCCAGUAGUGUUGGAAACAAUUCCACAUACGGCAUUGGUACGGGGUCAAAGGCAGGAUACCUUGGCACCCGAUUGUUGUAAUUUGGAAGUCGAACCUGUUGCUGAGGUUGUUGCGACCUUUGUUGAAAUGGUUGUUGCGAAACCUGAGGUUGAUAAGCUGGCGCCGAGUUAACAACCGGAGUUAUUGUAGCAACUUGAGGUGGAAACUUAUUUCUUGCUUUGUGCAAGACAUUGCUGACAUCUUGAUCCUUUUUCUUUGGGAAAGAACUUCCAUACUUCUUAGGACCAAUAUAAGAUUCUGGUUCUUUGUUCAAGCGUCCUUCUCAAACUGCUUCUUCUAAACGUACGCCCAUGUUUACCAUCUCGGUAAAGUCACUUGGAGCACUGGCGACCAUUCGUCCGUAGUAAAAUGGACUCAAAGUCUUGAGAUAGAUUUUUGUCAUUUGUUUCUCUUCAAGUGGAGGACAAAUUUGAGCAGCAACAUCACGCCAUCUCUGAGCGUAUUCCUUGAAGCUCUCUCUAUCCUUUUGAGUCAUGGCCCGGAGUUGAUCUCUGUCGGGAGCCAUAUCCAGAUUGUACUUAUACUGUUUGACGAAGGCCUCUCCGAGGUCUCGAAAAGUACGAAUCUCUGAACUGUCCAAGUUCAUGUACCAUUUGAGUGCAGCACCAGUCAGGCUGUCCUGAAAAUAAUGAAUGAGCAAUUGUUGAUUAUCAGUCUUAGUUGACAUUCUUCGAACGUACAUCACGGGGUGACUUUGUGGUCAUGUAUUCCCAUUGUACUUCUCGAAAUCUGGUACUUUGAAUUUGUGAGGAAUCUUAACAUUUGGAACCAGAUAGAGGUUUGCAGCGUUCUUUCCAAAUAGAUCUUGUCCUCGAAGAGUCUUGAGUUCCUUAUGCAUUUGUAGAAACUGUUCCUGGAACUCGUCCAAUCUUUCAUACACGCCAGCAUCCUCACUAGGAGCGUGAUGAUACACUUGUUCGCCCGGCGGAGGAAAAGUAUGCACAAACGGCCGUGGAGAAGCCAUGACAGCAGAUCUUGGUAUCUCAGCAUUCUGUUGCGCGUAACCUAUUACUGUCGCUCUUGGAACUUCAAUUUACAGAGGUCUGUAACCCUCCGGUGGAUGCAUAUCCAUCGUUACUCUUGGAACUUCAGAAACUGGGGGUAUGUACCCUUCUAGAGUAAAGUUAUACGGUAUGCCCCAAGGUCGGUUAGGUGGCAUGGUAUAUUGAGGAUUAGGAGUAGAAACAAUCUCGGAAACCACAGUCCUUUGUGGUUCUUCUGGCGUUGGUUGAUUCUGUGCAACCACCAGGGCUUCUACCAUACUAUUGAGCCUUUCAACAACAUCUUUGAGAGUAGUAACCUCUUCUCUGAGUUCUCCAUUCUCUUGCUCUAAGUCGUCCAUUCUUUUCUUGCGACUUGAACGAGUGUUGUAUGAAUGAGACAGCUUGAAUGCCUUUGUUUUUCACCUCCUUCUCCUCAUUUCUUUCUGGAGAAAGGAAAGUGACAAUUAGAUCCGCGACAAUUCUCGUGUCAGUGCGUACGACUAAAGCGAUGCAUGAUAUGCAAUGAAGUUAAUAUUUUUCAAGGAAACACCAUAAUUACGUUAUGAAACAUCAAAAUUUUUAUUAAUUAAGCGAAAACGCCGUUUUUACACACUUUGAAAAGGGAAAUACAUAGAAACAGAGAGAAAGGACUCUAAAACUUUGACGAAGAGUCGACUUCACGUUCUAACAUUUUCUUCUGUUUCUUGAGCUGAGCGUUCUCUGACGUAAGCUGAUCGAUGAUCCAGGAAGCAGGAGGGAUAUGAUGAGAAAGUGACGUUUGUGUCACUUGUCGAUCGAUUACUUCAAGCAACUCAUCCUUCCUUCUUAGGAUGUUCUGAAUCUCAACAUUUUCCGUGUUGACGAUUCGAUACUUGUUUCUCCAAACAUUCCUUUCUUCACACACCUUGUUUAAUGCUGCUUGCCGUUUCUCAACAUCGGUGGAGAAAAGGAAGAUUGGUUCCCUUAGGGGAAUAGGUUCUUGACGCUGAUAUUCCAUCCUGAGCUUGAAUGCCCUGACGCGUACCCAUUGAAGGUAAGGAUCCAGGAAGAUGCAAAGAUGUUUUCCUAACAAACUUCUCUCUUUUGUGUGAACAAGAUGCCAGGCUUGGACAAUUUCCUUCUUCAUCAUGUUUCCAUGGUCGUCGAUGUUCUUGAAGAACAGACCUUCCAAUUGAAUAAUACUUGGUAUGUUUUUCAUGGGAUAACCGUAUUGACGACGGGCUAAAGCUGGAUUAUAACGGAUUCCUCCCUUAGUUCCAAUAAGGGGUACGUUGGGAUAACUUCCACAACUGAAGAUGAUCUUGGUUUCGUUGUUGUCAGGACUACACCAAUCAAUGUCCGAAUGAGUGAGGAACAUGAAUUUCUGUGACCAGUGAGGGCCAUCCCUCAUGUUCCAGAAAGUGCUAGACUUUGGCAGGUGCGAGACGAACCAUUCGUAUAACAAUGGUAUGCAACAUCUGAUUAAUCCUCCUCGCUGCAGGUUUCUUGAAUGCACUGAGUGGUAAGCAUCCGCAAGCAAGGUUGGAACUGGAUUUCCAAUCAAGAAGAUCUUAAUUACGUUGAUGUCAACGAAAUCGUCAAUGUUAGGAAACAAAAACAAUUCGUAGAUAAGAAAUGCCAAGAUUUCCUCAAGAGCGCUCAUAUGUUGGAUGCUGACAAAGUACCGAGCUUGAUCUAACAAGAACAUGGAGGGAAAUCCUUGAAUUCCUCCUUUUCUCACCAUAUGAGUUCUGAUGUCGACUACGUUCAAGGGAGUAGUUGCAGCAAUGAUAAUGUCGUCAGGAUUCUUUUACAAACCAGAGUACGCAUCUUGCGCGUAUACGAGUAUUCCAACCAGACGAGAGUACUCCUCCAGCUUAGGCAUGAGUUGAUAAUCUGGAAAGGUAAAGCAGUGAUACGUUGGAUCGUAAAACUGUACCAAUGUGGGAAGGAUCCCAUCCACAAUGUUGGUGCUGAGAAGAGGCAGAAGUUUUCCAUACUUCUCCUUGAAAGCCUGGGGGUUGACCACCAGUUUUCCGAGCUUUUCCAAUUCCUCGACCUUAGGAAUCUUGAAGGUGUAUUUCCUAGCUCUCUUUCUUCCGUAAUCCAUGGUAUAGAUCCUUAAGUCCUUUCUCCGUUUCUCUCUUUCUAUGAAGUUCAAAACGUUCGUUAUUUAGUUUCCUUGAAAAACGACUCGAAAGAGACUCUUUGUUUUUAUUAUUAUGAUGAAUGUAUGAAUGCAUGAUUGCACACACAAGAGUUUUUAACAAACAUGGCGUAGAAGGGUAUAGUGGUCAUGGAGUCACAACGCAAACCUCGCCCCAGGGUAAACUAUGGAUAAGGAUUUUUGUACCUGUAGAACGGGCUCUAGGAGAGUUUUCUCUGAGUGUAGUAUCUGCGUGACAAUUACUUUUGUAAUCACUGCUUUACGUCCUAAAAAAGGCUUUAAGUGGGGUUAAUGUGUUUCUAGGUCCUCCUGGUACAAAUCAGUCUCGGAACGCAUUGGCGCAGUUAAUCACAACCAUCCAGGCAAAUCCCAAGAGUAGAUUUGGGAACCAAGAUUAGAGGGCCUUCACCAAGAAGACAUCCUCCAUCCUAUCUUAUGUUGCACUCAAAUCCGGGUAUAGGAUUUCUCACCACAAGGGGGAAUCAAGCCCUUUCCCGAUACAGAACAUAAAAAUAUAAACAAGUAUAAAUGCAGCAAACACAUGAAAUGACAAAUAGUUUAGGCAGGACCUCUCUUGUUUGAGGGGGAAUUUGGCAUCCCUAAUUCCUCAUUGGGGGCUGGACCAGCACAGGUCAACCAUUGGUUUGGAUGAAAAACCAAGGUUAUUACUUUCCCCAGCAAAGUCACCAUUUUUCUGUGGUGUCUUUUUUUUUACCUCCCCGUUUCACUUGGGAGGACGGCACGCUAGACCCUUCACGCGAAAUUUGGAAGGACAAUGCGCCCGGGGUGGGAUGAAUUUUGUUUCGGUUCUUUCUACGAUAACACACGAACUUUUUAAUUAUCCUACGAGGAGAAAGGGGAAAAAGAUCUCAAAUAAACCCUAGGAGUUUGCUAAGUGUGGGGAUUCACCUAGACUAGAAAUUCUGGAGUCCGAGAGGUCGGUUAUACAUAGGGAAAGUUUUAAGCACCCUAUAUAUCCGUAGUACUCUACGGGAACCUUCUCUGUGUGUAUGUGUUUGUGUUUGUUGCUAUUUGAUUGUGAAAGUUUCUCUUUUGUGUUAGCAAGGAAAAUUGAAUUGAAUUAAAAGAAAGACAGACAGACAGACUAUUUUUGGUUUUUUAUUAGCUCGCUGAGAUUCCUUGUGAACCUCAUGCCUACAUAUCCCUAAUGGAAGUUAGAGCUUUUUGUAGUUCGGAGAACUAAUUAGGGAAAUUAAUUAUUUUUGGUGCCUUGCUUGAAGCUCAAGGUUGAAGCUUGAAUUAAAUCUCUGUUUACAGUAAAGAGACAUAAAGUCAUCUUUACAGAGAGGUAUUUCUACUAUCCCACCACAAACAUUAAAGGAGUGACAGAAAAGUUGAAUUCAUUUCAUUCAAGAGGGGGACCUUACUUGUGUAUGUGCAAGUAUACCAGUCAACUGCGUCUUGAAUGAAAGAAAGGUGCUCAACCAAAUUAGGGAAAGUUACACAUGCCUAGGUUUACUUGCCAGAGCAUGUCUUUCAAAAUCCUAAAUGGGAGACAUAUUAAAAUUAAAAUGUAAUAUAGUGUUUGUUUGUUGGAAUGUGGUGAGAUAGGAGAAAGAUCUCUCUAUAGAGAUAAGCUAUACCUAUCUACUGUAUAAAUGAUUUGACUUUAGCUGGCUUGUAUGAGGCCCAAGCUUGAGGCUUUUGGAUUGAUUUUAUUGACUCUGGGAGAUGACUCCACUGGGGGAUUAACUUAAACUAAAAGGUUUUGGUGUUCUGUACAAAGCGCAGAAUUGAGGCUGACUCUAGUUGGAGAGUGUUUAUUUGAUGGAUUUUAUUUGGUGUUCUGUACAAAACCCAGAAUUGUGGCUGACUCUUAAUUGGGGAAUAUAUUAUUAUUUUCCUUGUAUGAAGCACAAGGUUGUGGCUGACUCUUACUAGGGAAGACAUUGUUUUCUGUCUUGUAUGAAGCCCAAGGUUGUGGCUGACUAUUCAGGAAAUUGAGUAUGGAUGACUCUAUGGGGAAAAGAUCCUAGAGGUUAGGAAUCUUUGACACAGGAAAUGUGAUUUAUCUGCCUUGUACAAAGCCCAAGGUUGUAGCUACUUGAUGAUGAAGGACUCACUGGGGAGACUCUAUUAUCUGCCUUGUACAAAGCCCAAGGUUGUGGCUGGCUCUCUAGGGGGAUACCUAUGAGUAAGGUUUUGACUCUAAAGGGAGUAUGUGCCUUGUAUAAAGCCCAAGGUUGAGGCUGACUUUUUAAUGGAGAAAGAUCUACCAGAGUGGGAUCUUUUGACUCAGAGGGGAUUACUCUGUUGAGGAUUAUCCUAAAGGGUUGACCCUACUGAGGAUUGUGCUUUUGUUGAAUGAAAGACCCAGGUUGGAAGAUUGACUCUACUGGGGAAUUUAUUUAGAUGAUUGACCUAAAGUAGACUCUACUGAGAACUUGGUUUUUUAUUGACGAAGACUGACCUUAAGUGAGAUUUAUCUUUUAAAAGUUGAAUUUUUGGAAGCUAACCCUUUCCAGGGAAUUAUGACCUUAGAGGACUGAUUUUGGAGGCUAACCCUUUCCAUGGGUUUUGCUUAGCUGGAGAGUUUUAUCUUUUGAAAGCUUUAAAUUUUUGAAGCUAACCCUUUUCCAGGGAAUUUGGAUUUAAAGGAGUGAUUUUGGAGGCUGACCCUUUCCAGGGGUUUUGGAAAGAUGGCAGAAGAAUUAUCUAUUUGAGACUUCUUGUUUAAAGCCUAAGAUUAAGGCUGUCAUUGACUAAGGAUAGACAGAUAUGGGUGACAGAGACUGUCCAUGUCUCUCAUUCCAAAAGGUGUACUCAAUGUGAGAUUGAGACAUUCUUAGCUUGUUUAAAGUCUGGUUUGAAGAGUGGAAGAAACUCACCAGGGUAGGCUAAAAGGUGACUAAAGACCUGUUCCUAUGUUUAUAAGAAACCUGAUGGGUCCUUGUAUACAAGCUCAAGAGUAAGAUGGGAAUGCUUUUAAGAAGCCUGUGGGUCCUUGUACAAAGCCCAAUAGGAGGCUAAUCGAGGGUCCUUGUUAUAGCACAAGAGAAAGCUAUGUUGUUUUGAACUUAUUUUGGCUUUAAGCAAAUGGGUAAGAGGUUUCACCGGGAAUAAUUCCUCUUGGGUGGAUGUUUCCUAUUUUUGGGUUCUAAGGCUUUUUCAAGAUGUUUCACCGGGAAUAAUUCAUCUUGAGGGUUUGAACUAAAGAUCUCUAAUUAGGAAAGAGCCUUCACCGGGAAGACAUUCUCAAUCCUAGGUCAUAGUCCUAUAAUAUAUAUAAUUUAACUGUCCUAAGGUUGUACACUCAGACGUAGUCCUAAACAAAAUAUAAACAGUUUAUAUUUGACAGUAAUUUAAAUGAAGACUAUAAAUUGAAAGCUUGUAAAGCCUAACCUGGAUGGAGUGGAGGCCUUUGAAAAUGUAUGUACAAAGCCUUACCAGUAGCUUGGUUGUUUAUUGAUAACAGUUGAAUACUUAUUAUAAACAGUUAAAGGUUUUUUGAAAACAGAAGAAGUGAAGAUGGACAUAGGUCACAUAGGUAUCUAAAGAGUUUCACCGGGAAUAAUGUCCUUCAAAUACCAGAAGAAUGUUUUGAAAACAGAAAGAAGAUUUUGUAAAUACAGUUUUGAAAACAAACUAUGAAAAGAAAGAAGGUGUUGGGUCUUACACUCUAAUAGAGGCCUAGAAAUAUUUAUUUACCGUUCAUAAGAAACAGUUGAUUGAAAUUGAAAUACUGUUGUUAAAACAGUUUUAUUGUCUGUAUUUGAAAAUCAAAAGGGGUUGGGACUUACACUCUAUUAGAGGCCCAAAAUUUAUUUUCUGUUUAUGAAAAACAAUUGAAAAGAUACAAGGUUUUGUUGUCUGAAAACCUGGAUCGUCUGUUUGAUCGGAGAUUGAAAAUAGUUUUGAAAAUUGACAAAAGACAACUUAAUUAAAAUAAAGAUGAAAUCUAUACCUAAUUAAGACCUAAAUGACUUAGGUUUUUAUCACAAAAUUAUUCAUACAAUAAUUAGGUAAAAAAGACAAAUGAAAACGUAUUUUUGAAGUAUUAAGAAAACACUUAAAAUACACCAUUUUAAACCUAAUAAAAAUACAUGAAAUAAAUAAUAUUUUUUGUGAUUUUUUGAUUGUUCAUAAAAUAGAUAUAUUAAUUGACAAGUGUGUGAAAAAUGAAAUUAAAAUGAAUGAAUUUGAUAAGUGAAUUAAAUGGUUUAAGUUAUGAAGAAAUUUGAGAAGAAAAGUGGUAAAAAAAAUUGGUUUUGGUCCUAGCAAGGCUUGAACCCACGCCCUUGAUAACCACUUCAAAAAACCUGACCAACUGAGCUACGCGUUCAAUUUGUAAUAUCAUCACCACGAAUUAGUUUUAUUUUAAAAAAGCACCCAGGAGAUUCAAAUUUGCGCGCCACCAUAGUCAUCUUCUUCCUUGAGCUCGUGAGAAUUUGAAUUUGCUAACUCUCUGGUUUCUCAACCAAAUGGUAUGAUGUAAACAUCAAUCUUGCUCGUUUGUAGACGAGGAACAUGACUAUGGGUUCAGAAUUUAUUUAUUCUAAGUGUAACUAAGGAAUUUCAGUAUGAACACAAAGAACAUAUAAACCCUAAAUUUAAAAUUAAAUGAUGAACAAGAUGAAUAAAUGAAUGAUGAUAGAGGGUUUUUAAUCCUCUGAUGAUGCUGAACAAACUGGUAUCGAGAUAUAUCAAGAAGAGUACUUAAAUAUGAGUGUUAGAGUUUGAAAAAGAUACCUUUGAAAAUGGAGGUCGACGGCUAUGGUGGAGAACUUAUGGCUAUGGCUGAAUGAUCCUAAAAGCUUCCUUGGGACUCAGUGAUGCUAACUGAAUGCUUAUUGUACCUUGAAUGCUUCAGAAUUUCCCUGCUCGACAGCCUCGAUUUGAGCUUCAAGUGAACAUGGAGCUUGAUGAUUAUGCACUUACAGAUAGGCUGCGACCAUCUAGAUAGCUUCACUACACCCUAAGGAACAUGUUUGGAUGCUUGGACUUGCUUGACACCUCCUGAACUGUGCUACAGACCUUCAACUUCUCGAGCUCCAAAAUGGAAGUGACUAUAGUGUUACUCCACUUACAGAAGUGAUCCAUGUGCUUGGAUCACUUCUAAUGAACCUCCUUGAUGUGUUAGAAGGCUUACUUUCAAAAGAAGAGCUCUGGUUUGAAGAAAUCGAUUCUUCUUGUCAAAGAACUUUUGAAAACCAUAAGCAUGAGGGAGAGAAAGAGAAAGCAAGAAGUAGAGUUGCUUUGGUGUGAUUAAUAUGAAGGAUGACACUUCUAUUUAUAGGCAAAAGGUUCAGAGCAUUUGGAUGUAGAGAGCUUGCUCAGUGAAGUAAGUUUGGUUUCUUAAGCAUGAAGAAAUUCAAAACUAUCCAAAAUGCAAUGAUGGCAUUUUCGAGCAUUCUCCCUAGCCAUUGAUCCUUGCAGAUCUUAGGGAACAUUUCUGAUGUGUAGAAGCUUUCUAUUGGCUUAGGAGAAGAUUCUAAUUGAUGAAUCAUCACUUACCAUAAAUUCCCAAAAGUAAUGAUUACAUAAUCACAUGUUCUUAUUUUGGGAAUAUUCUUCAAUCCUCAUGCCAUGGUGGAAAUGAAUGUAUGGUACCAUUACUGAUGUAUUAUGGGUCAUGUAGCAUCACUUAGUAGAGCCAUUUGCAUAAAUUUGCAAAGUUUCAAAUUAUACAUGACCUAUAAUUUUCCUUCAUGAGGCCAACUUUGAACAAGCAUAACUCUUGGCUCAAAAUGAAUUUGGAGAAGGUUGAGCACAAUUUGGAAAUCCCUAAACAUCUAAUUCAAUUCAUUAGUUUGGGGUUUCUUCAGAAUC
Vicia villosa (hairy vetch) is the source of this 11945-nucleotide RNA transcript. RefSeq lists it as uncharacterized. The record is from RefSeq and is a predicted model, not a curated record. The transcript has 5 exons. NCBI's taxonomy places the organism in Eukaryota, Viridiplantae, Streptophyta, Magnoliopsida, Fabales, Fabaceae.